CCUACGGUGGGCAGCAGUAGGGAAUAUUGCUCAAUGGGGGAAACCCUGAAGCAGCAACGCCGCGUGGAGGAUGAAGGUUUUCGGAUUUUAAACUCCUUUUGUUAGAGAAGAUAAUGACGGUCUCUAACGAAUAAGCACCUGCUAACUGCGUGCCAGCAGCCGUGGUAAUACGGAGGGUGCAAGCGUUUAUCGGAAUCACUGGGCGUAAAGAGCGCGUAGGCGGGAUAGCAAGUCAGAUGUGAAAGCCUAUGGCUUAACCAUAGAACGGCAUUUGAUAGUGUUAUUCUAGAGUAUGGGAGAGGUAGGUGGAAUGCUUGGUGUAGGGGUAAAAUCCGUAGAGAUCAAGAGGAAUACUCAGUGCGAAGGCGACCUGCGAGAACAUAACUGACGCUGAUGCGCGAAAGCGUGGGGAGCAAACAGGAUUAGAUACCCCAGUAGUC
RNAcentral lists this ribosomal RNA (440 nucleotides) under uncultured bacterium. RNAcentral's name for it is "partial 16S ribosomal RNA". It matches the Rfam family "Bacterial small subunit ribosomal RNA", at positions 338 to 795 of the family's 1533-position model. The record is from RNAcentral.